UAACACAUGCAAGUCGAGCGGUAAGGCCUUUCGGGGUACACGAGCGGCGAACGGGUGAGUAACACGUGGGUGAUCUGCCCUGCACUUCGGGAUAAGCCUGGGAAACUGGGUCUAAUACCGGAUAUGACCUCCUAUCGCAUGGUGGGUGGUGGAAAGAUUUAUCGGUGCAGGAUGGGCCCGCGGCCUAUCAGCUUGUUGGUGGGGUAAUGGCCUACCAAGGCGACGACGGGUAGCCGACCUGAGAGGGUGACCGGCCACACUGGGACUGAGACACGGCCCAGACUCCUACGGGAGGCAGCAGUGGGGAAUAUUGCACAAUGGGCGAAAGCCUGAUGCAGCGACGCCGCGUGAGGGAUGACGGCCUUCGGGUUGUAAACCUCUUUCAGCAGGGACGAAGCGCAAGUGACGGUACCUGCAGAAGAAGCACCGGCUAACUACGUGCCAGCAGCCGCGGUAAUACGUAGGGUGCAAGCGUUGUCCGGAAUUACUGGGCGUAAAGAGUUCGUAGGCGGUUUGUCGCGUCGUUUGUGAAAACCAGCAGCUCAACUGCUGGCUUGCAGGCGAUACGGGCAGACUUGAGUACUGCAGGGGAGACUGGAAUUCCUGGUGUAGCGGUGAAAUGCGCAGAUAUCAGGAGGAACACCGGUGGCGAAGGCGGGUCUCUGGGCAGUAACUGACGCUGAGGAACGAAAGCGUGGGUAGCGAACAGGAUUAGAUACCCUGGUAGUCCACGCCGUAAACGGUGGGCGCUAGGUGUGGGUUCCUUCCACGGAAUCCGUGCCGUAGCUAACGCAUUAAGCGCCCCGCCUGGGGAGUACGGCCGCAAGGCUAAAACUCAAAGGAAUUGACGG
RNAcentral lists this ribosomal RNA (851 nucleotides) under uncultured bacterium. RNAcentral's name for it is "bacterial SSU rRNA". It matches the Rfam family "Bacterial small subunit ribosomal RNA", at positions 49 to 916 of the family's 1533-position model. The record is from RNAcentral.